Molecule: unclassified non-coding RNA, 253 nt
Filed under: Maritalea sp.
Lineage: Bacteria; Pseudomonadati; Pseudomonadota; Alphaproteobacteria; Hyphomicrobiales; Devosiaceae
Also listed under: 1 other name
Description: partial 16S ribosomal RNA
Rfam family: Bacterial small subunit ribosomal RNA
Source: RNAcentral
UACGAAGGGGGCUAGCGUUGUUCGGAAUUACUGGGCGUAAAGCGCACGUAGGCGGAUUAGUAAGUUAGGGGUGAAAUCCCAAGGCUCAACCUUGGAACUGCCUUUAAUACUGCUAGUCUAGAGAUCGGGAGAGGUGUAUGGAACUCCUAGUGUAGAGGUGGAAUUCGUAGAUAUUAGGAAGAACACCAGUGGCGAAGGCGAUACACUGGCCCGAUACUGACGCUGAGGUGCGAAAGCGUGGGGAGCAAACAGG